GUUNNNUCCUGGCUCAGAUUGAACGCUGGCGGCAGGCCUAACACAUGCAAGUCGAACGGUAACAGGAAGCAGCUUGCUGCUUCGCUGACGAGUGGCGGACGGGUGAGUAAUGUCUGGGGAUCUGCCUGAUGGAGGGGGAUAACUACUGGAAACGGUAGCUAAUACCGCAUAACGUCGCAAGACCAAAGAGGGGGACCUUCGGGCCUCUUGCCAUCAGAUGAACCCAGAUGGGAUUAGCUAGUAGGUGGGGUAACGGCUCACCUAGGCGACGAUCCCUAGCUGGUCUGAGAGGAUGACCAGCCACACUGGAACUGAGACACGGUCCAGACUCCUACGGGAGGCAGCAGUGGGGAAUAUUGCACAAUGGGCGCAAGCCUGAUGCAGCCAUGCCGCGUGUAUGAAGAAGGCCUUCGGGUUGUAAAGUACUUUCAGCGGGGAGGAAGGCGAUGCGGUUAAUAACCGUGUCGAUUGACGUUACCCGCAGAAGAAGCACCGGCUAACUCCGUGCCAGCAGCCGCGGUAAUACGGAGGGUGCAAGCGUUAAUCGGAAUUACUGGGCGUAAAGCGCACGCAGGCGGUCUGUCAAGUCGGAUGUGAAAUCCCCGGGCUCAACCUGGGAACUGCAUCCGAAACUGGCAGGCUUGAGUCUUGUAGAGGGGGGUAGAAUUCCAGGUGUAGCGGUGAAAUGCGUAGAGAUCUGGAGGAAUACCGGUGGCGAAGGCGGCCCCCUGACAAAG
RNAcentral lists this ribosomal RNA (737 nucleotides) under Atlantibacter hermannii. RNAcentral describes it as "bacterial SSU rRNA". It matches the Rfam family "Bacterial small subunit ribosomal RNA", at positions 11 to 738 of the family's 1533-position model. The record is from RNAcentral. Lineage: Bacteria; Pseudomonadati; Pseudomonadota; Gammaproteobacteria; Enterobacterales; Enterobacteriaceae.